UAGGAUACCUCAUUGUACUCUGUUUUUCCU
RNAcentral lists this non-coding RNA (30 nucleotides) under Rattus norvegicus (Norway rat). Lineage: Eukaryota; Metazoa; Chordata; Mammalia; Rodentia; Muridae. The record is from RNAcentral.